CCGGGAAACCGGGGCUAAUACCGGAUAACACAUGAAACCGCAUGGUUUCAUGAUGAAAGACGGUUUUGCUGUCACUUAUAGAUGGACCCGCGGCGUAUUAGCUAGUUGGUAAGGUAACGGCUUACCAAGGCAACGAUACGUAGCCGACCUGAGAGGGUGAUCGGCCACACUGGAACUGAGACACGGUCCAG
This 191-nucleotide ribosomal RNA is filed under the name uncultured Staphylococcus sp. RNAcentral describes it as "partial 16S ribosomal RNA". It matches the Rfam family "Bacterial small subunit ribosomal RNA", at positions 149 to 334 of the family's 1533-position model. The record is from RNAcentral. Lineage: Bacteria; Bacillati; Bacillota; Bacilli; Caryophanales; Staphylococcaceae.